CCUACGGGUGACAGCAGUCGAGAAUCAUUGACAAUGGUCGGAAGCCUGAUGCUGCGAAGCCGCGUGGGGGAAUGAAGGACAUAGGAUUGUAAACCCCUGUCAUGUGGGAGCAAAGUAAAAAGAUAGUACCAGAAGAGGAAGAGACGGAGAACUCAGUGCGAGCAGCCGCGGUAAUACAGAGGUCUUAAGCGGUGUUCGGAAUCAGUGGGCGUAAAGGGUGCGGUGGCUGUUGUGUAAGUCCGGUGUGAAAGGCCCGGGCUCAACCCGCGGACCGCAGAUGAUACUGGGAGACUAGAGUAAGAGAGGGGGAACCGGAAUUCGCGGUGUAGCAGUGAAAUGCGUAGAUAUCGCGAGGAACACUCGUGGCGAAGGCGGGUUCCCGGACCUUCACUGACGCUGAGGCACGAAGGCCAGGGGAGCGAAAGGGAUUAGAUACCCGUGUAGUC
Molecule: ribosomal RNA, 446 nt
Filed under: uncultured bacterium
Lineage: Bacteria
Description: partial 16S ribosomal RNA
Rfam family: Bacterial small subunit ribosomal RNA
Source: RNAcentral